This 459-nucleotide ribosomal RNA is filed under the name uncultured bacterium. Its description in RNAcentral is "partial 16S ribosomal RNA". It matches the Rfam family "Bacterial small subunit ribosomal RNA", at positions 339 to 795 of the family's 1533-position model. The record is from RNAcentral.
CUACGGGUGGCUGCAGUGAGGAAUAUUGGUCAAUGGGCGAGGGCCUGAACCAGCCAAGUCGCGUGCAGGAAGACUGCCCUAUGGGUUGUAAACUGCUUUUGUAUGAGAGUAAAGGACAAUACGUGUAUUGUUUUGCAAGUAUCAUACGAAUAAGGAUCGGCUAACUCCGUGCCAGCAGCCGCGGUAAUACGGAGGAUUCGAGCGUUAUCUGGAUUUAUUGGGUUUAAAGGGUGCGUAGGCGGAAGAUUAAGUCAGUGGUGAAAGUUUGCAGCUCAACUGUAAAAUUGCCAUUGAAACUGAUUUUCUUGAGUACAAAUGAGGUAGGCGGAAUGUGUUGUGUAGCGGUGACAUGCAUAGAUAUAACACAGAACACCGAUUGCGAAGGCAGCUUACUGGGAUGUAACUGACGCUGAGGCACGAAAGCGUGGGGAUCAAACAGGAUUAGAUACCCGCGUAGUC